GGAGGGGUGGCCGAGAGGCUGAAGGCGACGGUUUGCUAAACCGUUAUGCGGGAUCUCUCGUAUCGAGGGUUCGAAUCCCUCUCCUUCCGCCA
This 92-nucleotide transfer RNA is filed under the name Anaplasmataceae bacterium. Its description in RNAcentral is "tRNA-Ser". It matches the Rfam family "tRNA". From Rfam's summary of the family: Transfer RNA (tRNA) molecules are approximately 80 nucleotides in length. The record is from RNAcentral. Lineage: Bacteria; Pseudomonadati; Pseudomonadota; Alphaproteobacteria; Rickettsiales; Anaplasmataceae.